ACUAGUUGAGCCCAACGUAGACCCCAUAUAUGUGACUAUGCCACAAUUGCUCUAUGUUGGAGGGUAGUUCUCCUUUUAUAGACAAACUCACUACCCUUAAAUCUAUUCUCAAACGAUGUGGGAAUUUCACAUUUUUUGUGAUUUAUCGACGAAUUACCAACUAAAUAUAUUUCGUAGGUAUUUUUUUAAAAUUUUAUUUUCAAUUUCUCCUUAAUAUUACCUACGAA
This 227-nucleotide unclassified non-coding RNA is filed under the name Hevea brasiliensis (rubber tree). Lineage: Eukaryota; Viridiplantae; Streptophyta; Magnoliopsida; Malpighiales; Euphorbiaceae. The record is from RNAcentral.